Molecule: ribosomal RNA, 748 nt
Filed under: uncultured bacterium
Lineage: Bacteria
Description: bacterial SSU rRNA
Rfam family: Bacterial small subunit ribosomal RNA
Source: RNAcentral
CGAACGAAUCUUCUUCGGAAGAUGAGUGGCGAACGGGUGAGUAAUACAUAGGUAACCUGCCCCUGUGCGGGGGAUAACAGGAGGAAACUCCUGCUAAUACCGCAUAGCCAUGAGCACCGCAUGGAGCUCAUGCCAAAUAUCCUUUCGGGGAUAGCGCAGGGAUGGACCUAUGGCGCAUUAGCUUGUUGGCGGGGCAACGGCCCACCAAGGCAACGAUGCGUAGCCGGCCUGAGAGGGCGGACGGCCACAUUGGGACUGAGACACGGCCCAGACUCCUACGGGAGGCAGCAGUAGGGAAUUUUCGGCAAUGGGGGAAACCCUGACCGAGCAACGCCGCGUGAGCGAAGAAGGCCUUCGGGUCGUAAAGCUCUGUUGUAAAGGAAGAACGGCGCAUACAGGAAAUGGUAUGCGAGUGACGGUACUUUACCAGAAAGCCACGGCUAACUACGUGCCAGCAGCCGCGGUAAUACGUAGGUGGCGAGCGUUAUCCGGAAUCAUUGGGCGUAAAGAGGGAGCAGGCGGCCGCAAGGGUCUGUGGUGAAAGACCGAAGCUAAACUUCGGUAAGCCAUGGAAACCGGGCGGCUAGAGUGCGGAAGAGGAUCGUGGAAUUCCAUGUGUAGCGGUGAAAUGCGUAGAUAUAUGGAGGAACACCAGUGGCGAAGGCGACGGUCUGGGCCGCAACUGACGCUCAUUCCCGAAAGCGUGGGGAGCAAAUAGGAUUAGAUACCCUAGUAGUCCACGCCGUAA